GACGAACGCUGGCGGCGUGCUUAACACAUGCAAGUCGAGCGGUAAGGCCCUUUCGGGGGUACACGAGCGGCGAACGGGUGAGUAACACGUGGGUGACCUGCCCUCAGCUCUGGGAUAAGCCUGGGAAACCGGGUCUAAUACUGGAUAUGACUCCAUGACGCAUGUUGUGGGGUGGAAAGCCUUGUGCGGCUGAGGAUGGGCCCGCGGCCUAUCAGCUUGUUGGUGGGGUGANGGCCUACCAAGGCGACGACGGGUAGCCGGCCUGAGAGGGCGACCGGCCACACUGGGACUGAGACACGGCCCAGACUCCUACGGGAGGCAGCAGUGGGGAAUCUUGCGCAAUGGGCGAAAGCCUGACGCAGCGACGCCGCGUGAGGGAUGACGGCCUGGUGUAACUACUUCUAGCUCCGACGAAGACGAGAGUGACGGUAGGAGCGAGAAGAAGAC
Molecule: ribosomal RNA, 447 nt
Filed under: uncultured bacterium
Lineage: Bacteria
Description: bacterial SSU rRNA
Rfam family: Bacterial small subunit ribosomal RNA
Source: RNAcentral